UAGGGAAUCUUCCGCAAUGGGCGAAAGCCUGACGGAGCAACGCCGCGUGAGUGAUGAAGGUCUUCGGAUCGUAAAACUCUGUUAUUAGGGAAGAACAAAAGUGUAAGUAACUAUGCACGUCUUGACGGUACCUAAUCAGAAAGCCACGGCUAACUACGUGCCAGCAGCCGCGGUAAUACGUAGGUGGCAAGCGUUAUCCGGAAUUAUUGGGCGUAAAGCGCGCGUAGGCGGUUUUUUAAGUCUGAUGUGAAAGCCCACGGCUCAACCGUGGAGGGUCAUUGGAAACUGGAAAACUUGAGUGCAGAAGAGGAAAGUGGAAUUCCAUGUGUAGCGGUGAAAUGCGCAGAGAUAUGGAGGAACACCAGUGGCGAAGGCGACUUUCUGGUCUGUAACUGACGCUGAUGUGCGAAAGCGUGGGGAUCAAACAGG
Molecule: ribosomal RNA, 429 nt
Filed under: Actinomycetes bacterium
Lineage: Bacteria; Bacillati; Actinomycetota; Actinomycetes
Description: Actinobacteria bacterium partial 16S ribosomal RNA
Rfam family: Bacterial small subunit ribosomal RNA
Source: RNAcentral